This 804-nucleotide ribosomal RNA is filed under the name Triticum aestivum (bread wheat). RNAcentral's name for it is "partial small subunit ribosomal RNA". The record is from RNAcentral. Lineage: Eukaryota; Viridiplantae; Streptophyta; Magnoliopsida; Poales; Poaceae.
ACGGCGGAGGGGAAGGGCGCCGAGUCCCACGUCGGCAGCCGGGCGGCGCGGCGCCGGAGGAUGGAGAUACGACGGCAUAGACUGGUGGCCGAGCGUGGUGCGGAGGAGGUGUCCAGGAAGAGGCGGAAGCUGGAGGAGGAAUCCUCCUCGACGAACGAGGAGGAGAUUGAGCCGGCCAAGUACGGCGUGAUGUCGGUGUGCGGCCGCCGGAGGGAUAUGGAGGACGCGGUGUCCGUCCGCCCCGAGUUCCUCCCCGGCCACCACUUCUUCGGGGUCUUCGACGGCCAUGGCUGCUCGCAUGUUGCAACGUCGUGCGGGGAGCGGAUGCACGAGAUCGUGGUCGAGGAGGUCGGCAGCGCCCGCUCGUCGGGGUCGGACGAUGCGGAGCGGUGGAUGGGUGUCAUGGAGCGGAGCUUCGCGCGAAUGGACGCCGAGGCCAUGAGCUCAAAAGGUCAAGCCAGUGGAGCGCCCACCUGCCGGUGCGAGCUGCAGCUGCCCAAGUGCGACCACGUCGGCUCCACGGCCGUUGUUGCCGUGGUCGGCCCUCCGCCUCGCCACCUCGUCGUCGCCAACUGCGGUGACAGCCGUGCGGACAUCGGCCGCGGGAGCGCCGCCAUCCCACUCUCAUCCAACCACAAGCCGGAUCGGCCCGACGAGCUGUAGCGGAUCCAAGAGGCCGGAGGGUGCGCCAUCUUCUGGGACAGCGCCCGCGUCUUCGACGUGCUAGCCAUGUCUCGGGCCAUCGGAGACAGCUACCUGAAGCCAUUUGUGAUACCCCGCAGGGCAGAAAUUUUAGUCCUGUAA